This 138-nucleotide ribosomal RNA is filed under the name uncultured Bacteroidota bacterium. RNAcentral describes it as "uncultured Bacteroidetes bacterium partial 16S ribosomal RNA". It matches the Rfam family "Bacterial small subunit ribosomal RNA", at positions 396 to 529 of the family's 1533-position model. The record is from RNAcentral. Lineage: Bacteria; Pseudomonadati; Bacteroidota.
GCCGCGUGCAGGAAGACUGCCCUAUGGGUUGUAAACUGCUUUUAUACAGGAAGAAACACCUCUACGUGUAGAGGCUUGACGGUACUGUAAGAAUAAGGAUCGGCUAACUCCGUGCCAGCAGCCGCGGUAAUAAUCACU